UGAAAAUUAGCGGUAUUUUUAGUUGAUUUUUUAUUUUUAGCUGAAGAAGUUGUGAAAAUUGUGAAAUGUUAAGAAAAAUUAAAAAAAAUCCAAUUAAAAGAUAAAAAUUUAAAGAAAAAAUGUUUAAAAGUGUUAACAAAUAGUUAUAGUAAUAAAAAAUCAUAAAAAUAUGUUUGAAGAAUGUAUAAAUAUACGGAAAUAUAGAAAUUACUUUUGAGCCGGCAACAAAGUUGAAGGCUAAACUAUCGGGCUUUUUGUUUUCAGAACCUUUUGGGAUGCUUUGAAGGAUGGUCUCGAAAGUAAUGUCUAAGAAACAGUUGGAUAUACUCUAUAUAGUAGUAGUAUUUUUAGUACUUUUUUUUAAAUAACUAAAAUUAAAAUGAUUUUUAUUAAAAUAGUGUAAAAACUGUGUUAAAAUUAUGUAAAAAUUCCCAAAAAUU
Lucilia cuprina (Australian sheep blowfly) is the source of this 440-nucleotide long non-coding RNA. RefSeq lists it as uncharacterized. NCBI's taxonomy places the organism in Eukaryota, Metazoa, Arthropoda, Insecta, Diptera, Calliphoridae. The record is from RefSeq and is a predicted model, not a curated record. The transcript is spliced from 3 exons.